AUGAACGCUGGCGGCGUGCCUAAUACAUGCAAGUCGAGCGAACGGACGAGAAGCUUGCUUCUCUGAUGUUAGCGGCGGACGGGGGAGUAACACGUGGAUAACCUACCUAUAAGACUGGGAUAACUUCGGGAAACCGGAGCUAAUACCGGAUAAUAUUUUGCACCGCAUGGUUCAAAAGUGAAAGACGGUCUUGCUGUCACUUAUAGAUGGAUCCGCGCUGCAUUAGCUAGUUGGUAAGGUAACGGCUUACCAAGGCAACGAUGCAUAGCCGACCUGAGAGGGUGAUCGGCCACACUGGAACUGAGACACGGUCCAGACUCCUACGGGAGGCAGCAGUAGGGAAUCUUCCGCAAUGGGCGAAAGCCUGACGGAGCAACGCCGCGUGAGUGAUGAAGGUCUUCGGAUCGUAAAACUCUGUUAUUAGGGAAGAACAUAUGUGUAAGUAACUGUGCACAUCUUGACGGUACCUAAUCAGAAAGCCACGGCUAACUACGUG
This 496-nucleotide ribosomal RNA is filed under the name uncultured bacterium. RNAcentral describes it as "partial 16S ribosomal RNA". It matches the Rfam family "Bacterial small subunit ribosomal RNA", at positions 29 to 507 of the family's 1533-position model. The record is from RNAcentral.